GCCUAGGUAGUUUAUUAGAUCUAAUCUAAUGUAUGCGUAGUAAAUUAAAUUGUUUAAUCUAAGUCAUUUUCACUAAAAAUUGUAAAAAUAUAUGCAUGAAACUACCUAUGUUUCCUUCAUAAGGAACUUAUCAUAUAAACAUUAUAAAAUAAUUAUAAGUUUAAAAGAGAAAUUUAGAUUAAGAUUGUAUCGGGUCGGGUUCAGGGCAAGAUACACCAUUAUCCAUAGUCGAG
Molecule: long non-coding RNA, 233 nt
Filed under: Elaeis guineensis (African oil palm)
Lineage: Eukaryota; Viridiplantae; Streptophyta; Magnoliopsida; Arecales; Arecaceae
Description: long non-coding RNA (EGUI_LNC037469)
Source: RNAcentral